RNAcentral lists this ribosomal RNA (183 nucleotides) under uncultured bacterium. RNAcentral's name for it is "partial 16S ribosomal RNA". It matches the Rfam family "Bacterial small subunit ribosomal RNA", at positions 336 to 531 of the family's 1533-position model. The record is from RNAcentral.
CUCCUACGGGAGGCAGCAGUGGGGAAUAUUGCACAAUGGGCGGAAGCCUGACGCAGCGACGCCGCGUGAGGGAUGACGGCCUUCGGGUUGUAAACCUCUUUCAGCAGGGACGAAGCGGAAGUGACGGUACCUGCAGAAGAAGCACCGGCCAACUACGUGCCAGCAGCCGCGGUAAGACGUAGG